RNAcentral lists this ribosomal RNA (406 nucleotides) under uncultured bacterium. Its description in RNAcentral is "partial 16S ribosomal RNA". It matches the Rfam family "Bacterial small subunit ribosomal RNA", at positions 28 to 526 of the family's 1533-position model. The record is from RNAcentral.
GACGAACGCUGGCGGCGUGCUUAACACAUGCAAGUCGAAGGAGUGGCGAACGGGUGAGUAACACGUGAGUAACCUGCCCCUUCUUUUGGAUAACCGCAUGAAAGGGUGGCUAAUACAGGAUAGUGGGGGUUGGGCUCGCGGCCUAUCAGCUUGUUGGUGGGGUGAUGGCCUACCAAGGCGGGGACGGGUAGCCGGCCUGGGAGGGUGGGCGGUCACACUGGGACUGAGAUACGGCCCAGACUCCAACGGGAGGCAGCAGUGGGGGAUUGUGCACAAUGGGCGCAAGCCUGAUGCAGCAACGCCGCGUGAGUGAUGACGGCCUUCGGGUUGUAAAGCUCUGUUAAUCGGGACGCGGUACCGGAAUAGAAAGCAACGGCUAACUACGUGCCAGCCGCCGCGGUAAUAC